RNAcentral lists this long non-coding RNA (399 nucleotides) under Malus domestica (apple). RNAcentral describes it as "long non-coding RNA (MDOM_LNC013311)". The record is from RNAcentral. Lineage: Eukaryota; Viridiplantae; Streptophyta; Magnoliopsida; Rosales; Rosaceae.
UCAUCAUUGUGUUGGAAGGUACCCUAAGACACAAAUAAGCACACAAAAACAACUCUUUUUGGGAUUUUCAAAACAAUUUUUCAAAUUUUUAUGAAUUUUCGGAUUUUUAUGUCAAAACACACUGAAACACUCCAAAACAGCUUAAAAAUACUUAAAACAGCAAGGAACAACACUAGAAAUAAUGGGUGAUAAUUUUCUACGAAUUUUAUGCAAAACACUAGUUACCCCCCCCCCACAUUUAAAUCAAACAUUGUCCUCAAUGUUUCAAGCAUAUACUCACACAAAAACAAGCAACGAAUAACAGAACAAAUAUAGCAAAGUAAACAAAAAAAAAAAUUAGACAGAGUAGAGGUUAAGAACGCAAAUCUGGUUUUUGAGAUAGAUGAUCUUGGUGACUUU